RNAcentral lists this ribosomal RNA (485 nucleotides) under Gerris insularis. RNAcentral describes it as "partial 16S ribosomal RNA". Lineage: Eukaryota; Metazoa; Arthropoda; Insecta; Hemiptera; Gerridae. The record is from RNAcentral.
GAGUUUAAUGGUCGAACAGACCAAGAAAAUUGAAAUUUUACGCCCAAAUCUUAUCUUAAUUCAACAUCGAGGUCGCAAACUUUUUCAUCGAUAUGAACUCUCCGAAAAAAUUACGCUGUUAUCCCUAAGGUAAGUUAAUCUUAUAAUCAAAAAUUGGGGAUCAAAAAAACAUAUAUUAAUGAAUAAAAAUAUUAAAAGUUAAAUAAAUUUUAAUGUCACCCCAACAAAACUUUAUAUUCUAAAAAAUUAUUUUAUAAACAAAAAACAAAAAUUAAUAAAUAAAGUUAACUUCUAUAGGGUCUUCUCGUCCUAUAAAAAAAUUUUAGCUUUUUAACUAAAAAAUUAAAUUCAAAAUAAUUGAGAAAAGAAAGUUUAUUUUUCAUCAAAACCAUUCAUACUAGCCUUCAAUUAAAAGACAAAUGAUUAUGCUACCUUCGGACAGGUAAAAUACCGCAGCCUUUUAAUUCAAAAAAAUCAAUGGGCAG